This 249-nucleotide small RNA is filed under the name Vigna angularis var. angularis. RNAcentral's name for it is "Non-protein coding transcript". Lineage: Eukaryota; Viridiplantae; Streptophyta; Magnoliopsida; Fabales; Fabaceae. The record is from RNAcentral.
CACCUCCACUUCCAGUGUAAUAUCAAUGGUGUUAGUUAAACCAUCUUGCCCCAGAUGAAAAUAACAUGAAGAAAACGUACCCACUCCUGAGAGGCCAAGAAUAUGUACAUAUGCAGACCAAAGAAAUUGUUGAGAGGUUUCAUAAUUUGGUGGCAAAAAUCCAACCUUGGGAGUUCCCAAUUCAAAGGUACACCUUUUGGAAGAUGGGUUUUCUAUGUCAUACUUAUUCUUUCUCGUGGGCAUUUUCCC